Molecule: transfer RNA, 61 nt
Filed under: Armadillidium album
Lineage: Eukaryota; Metazoa; Arthropoda; Malacostraca; Isopoda; Armadillidiidae
Description: tRNA-Asp
Source: RNAcentral
AAUACAGUAGUUAGAAUAAAAAUAUAAGGUUGUCAGCUUUAAGUUAUGAAAUUCCUCAGAU